CUAACAAUAUUUAUGAAAACUUUCUGAGAAUUAUGAAUAUUUCUUCUCUGUCAGAUAUGGAUCAUUACCAAUGAUAAAAUGAAAUGCCGUACAUCACAUCUUAUAGAGGUUUAAAUUUCAAAUAUUCGUCAAUAACUUAAGAUAUAGAGCAAUUUUGUCUUCAACAUUUCAAAUGUUAAAGGGUACAUUUGUAUUUUUUACUUCGAUU
RNAcentral lists this long non-coding RNA (208 nucleotides) under Mytilus galloprovincialis (Mediterranean mussel). Lineage: Eukaryota; Metazoa; Mollusca; Bivalvia; Mytilida; Mytilidae. The record is from RNAcentral.